AGGCUCCCCUUCAUCUAGAACAUAUAUGAAUUGGCAAAAAACGUAAAAUUAAAAGUAAAGAAAAAAAUAUUCGAAUGUAAUACAAAGUAUACUACAAAUUGACAAGAAAAAAAGCUUACCUGAGUCAGGGAAGAGAAAGUGAUGGAAGGUGUAAUGUGAAAGACAAGAUGCAAUAAAUAAAUAGAGUGUAGUUGAAUGAACGAA
RNAcentral lists this long non-coding RNA (204 nucleotides) under Capsicum annuum. Its description in RNAcentral is "long non-coding RNA (CANN_LNC015196)". The record is from RNAcentral. Lineage: Eukaryota; Viridiplantae; Streptophyta; Magnoliopsida; Solanales; Solanaceae.